AGUGAACGCUGGCGGUAGGCCUAACACAUGCAAGUCGAACGGCAGCACAGUAAGUGCUUGCUCUUCCGGGGGGCGAGUGGCGGACGGGUGAGGAAAGUAUCCGAAUCUACUUUUUCGUGGGGGAUAACGUAGGGAAACUUACGCCAAUACCGCAUAUGCCCCAGGGGUGAAAGCAUGGGAUCUUCGCGGCUGUCGCGAUUGAACGCGCGGAUGUCGGAUUUGCUGGUUGGGGGGGUAAAGGCCCACCAAGGGGACGAUCGGUAGCCGGUCGGAGUGGAGGGUCAGCGACAUUGGAAGGUGGACACGGACAAGGCUACUACGGGAGGGCGCAGUGGGGAAUGUGAGGCAACGGGCGCAAGUCUGGUCCAGCGAGACCGCGUGGGUGAAGAAGGCGUCCGGGUUGUAAAGCCGUUUUGUUGGGAAAGAAAAGCAGUAGGUUAAGACGCAGCUGUUCUGACGGUACCCAAUGAAGAAGCACCGGCUAACUUCGUG
This 492-nucleotide ribosomal RNA is filed under the name uncultured bacterium. RNAcentral's name for it is "partial 16S ribosomal RNA". It matches the Rfam family "Bacterial small subunit ribosomal RNA", at positions 30 to 507 of the family's 1533-position model. The record is from RNAcentral.